CUCCUCUCUCUCUCUGUUUCUCCUGAAUUCCCGGGAAACUCGAGAUCAUACCUGCUCCGGAGCAUUGCUACUGUGAAUCAACACGGGAAAUAUACUCCGCUUGGAACGCCUCCAUUUGAUUGUGAAGGAUUCUUGUAGCACAACCGGUAACCAUUGACAACCGUACGAAUCUUAACUCUUAAUGAUUUCGCAGCUGAGGUCUUUGUGGAGGCUGGUUGACAAAGAAGCAGUGAAGCCCUCGACAAACAAAAGCAUAACCGCAGUUCAUGUAGUACCAAGGUAACUUGGAGCACCAAUGGAACCGAACACGCCAAUGACAAAACUAAGGAAGGCGGAAAAUGGGAAGAACUUAUGACACCCACAACAAAACACAUGUAAACAAUGACUUAGAAGUAUCAUAUCAUCUUCAUCUUG
Molecule: long non-coding RNA, 414 nt
Filed under: Helianthus annuus (common sunflower)
Lineage: Eukaryota; Viridiplantae; Streptophyta; Magnoliopsida; Asterales; Asteraceae
Source: RNAcentral